ACCAGAGGGUGGAAAACCCAAAGAGUAUCUAACCCAGUCGCUCUGUCAGCGUCUAUCGAUACGCAUAUCGUUCCACCUUAUAAUCAUGAACCUGACAUGGAAUAUCGCGGUUAUAUUUUGUGCUUUUAUUUAAAAAAUUGUUUCAAAAAUAAAUAUACCUCACUCAACUUUUGCAGUUUGAAAAUUUUUCAUUAGGAUUUACGUUUUAAGAAAAAAAAAGUGAAAAAGUGCGGCGUUUUUUCUUCGGAGAUAUUUAUGCACUGAGAAACAAACUCUUCCAAUUGAAGUAUCUGAAAAUUUUCCUACCGAACAAUUUCAACUUAAAAUUUUUUUUACAAGUUCUGACGGGCAAGAAAAGGAGGGAAAAAAGCAUCUGCUAAAAGCUUUAAAAACGCAUUAUGUUCUCGUCAAUAGCAGUUCCAUCCCUACACGUCAAGUUCAGCUGAAGUACUUACGGACUGAGAAGUUUUGUUCCAAGAACCUGGAGAG
Molecule: long non-coding RNA, 489 nt
Organism: Cotesia glomerata
Lineage: Eukaryota; Metazoa; Arthropoda; Insecta; Hymenoptera; Braconidae
Exons: 4
Source: RefSeq, a predicted model, not a curated record